AGCAGCCGCGGUAAUUCCAGCCCCAAUAGCGUAUAUUAAAGUUGUUGCAGUUAAAAAGCUCGUAGUUGAAUUUCGGGGUUAGUAGGUUGGUCAUGCCUCUGGUAUGUACUGGUCUCACUGAUUCCUCCUUCCUGAUGAGCCGUAAUGCCAUUAAUUUGGUGUUGCGGGGAAUUUGGACUGUUACUUUGAAAAAAAUUAGAGUGUUUAAAGCAAGCUAACGCUUGAAUACAUUAGCAUGGAAUAAUGAAAUAGGACGUUCGAUCCUAUUUUGUUGGUUUCUAGGAUUGACGUAAUGAUUAAUAGGGAUAGUUGGGGGCAUUAGUAUUCAAUUGUCAGAGGUGAAAUUCUUGGAUUUAUUGAAGACUAACUACUGCGAAAGCAUUUGCCAAGGAUGUUUUCAUUAAUCAAGAACGAAAGUUAGGGGAUCGAAGACGAUCAGAUACCGUCGUAGUCUUAACCAUAAACUAUGCCGACUAGGGAUCGGAUGAUGUUAAUUUUUAAUGACUCAUUCGGCACCUUA
RNAcentral lists this ribosomal RNA (520 nucleotides) under uncultured Glomus. Its description in RNAcentral is "SSU rRNA". It matches the Rfam family "Eukaryotic small subunit ribosomal RNA", at positions 569 to 1090 of the family's 1831-position model. The record is from RNAcentral. Lineage: Eukaryota; Fungi; Glomeromycota; Glomeromycetes; Glomerales; Glomeraceae.